GUUAGGAUGCUGUUAGGUUGCUGAUAGGAUGCUGUUAGGUUGCUGUUAGGGUGCUAUUAGAAUGCUGUUAGGAUGCUGUUAGGUUGCUGUUAGGGUGCUUUUAGAAUGCUGUUAGGCUGCUGUUAGGCUGCUGUUAUGAUGCUGUUAGGAUGCUGUUAGGCUGCUGUUAGGUUGCUGUUAGGUUGCUAUUAGAAUGCUGUUAGGAUGCUGUUAGGAUGCUGUUAGGAUAUUGUUAGGAUGCUGUUAGGUUGCUGUUCGGGUGCUGUUAGCUUGCUGUUUGCUUGCUGUUAGGCUGUUGUUAGGCUGCUGUUAGGUUGCUGUUUGGUUGCUGUUACGAUGCUGUUAGGCUGCUGUUAUGCUGCUGUUAUGCUGCUGUUACGAUGCUGUUAGGAUGCUUUUAGGUUGCUGUUAGGCUGCUCGUAGUUGGCUCGUAAGCGGCUGUUAGAUUGCUGUUAGGUUGCUGUUAGACUUCUGUUAGGAUGCUGUUAGGCUGCUGUUGGGAUGCUAUUUGUCUGUUGUUAGGAUGCUUUUAGGAUGCUGUUAGGAUGCUGUUAACAUGCAAUUAGGCUGCUGCUAGGUUGCUGUUAGGCUGUUGUUAGGUUGCUGUUAGGUUGGUGUUCAGAUGCUGUUAGGCUGCUGUUAGGCUGCUGUUAUGCUCCUGUUUGGAUGCUGUUAACACGCUGUUAGGAUGCUGUUAGGUUGCUGUAAGGAUGCUGUUAGGCUACUUUUUGUAUGCUGUUAUAAUGCUAUUAGGUAUCUGUUAGGAUGCUAAUAGGUUGCUGUUAGGCUGCUCGUAGUUGGCGGGGAGGCGGCUGUUAGGUUGCUGUUAGGAUGCUGUUAGGCCGCUGUUUGGCUGCUGUUUGGCUGCUGUUAGGAUGCUGUUAGGAUGCUUUUUGUCUGUUGUUUGGCUUCUGUUAGUAUGCUGUUAGGAUGCUGUUAGGCUGCUGUUAAGCUGCUGUUAGGUUGCUGUUAGGCUGCUGUUAGGUUGCCUUUAGGUUGCUGUUAGGCUGUUGUUAGGCUGCUGUUAGGUUACUGUUAGGAUGCUGUUCAGAUGCUGUUAGGCUGCUGUUAGGCUGCUGUUAGGAUGCUGUUAGGUUGCUGUUAGGCUGCUGUUAGGCUGCUGUUCGGAUGCUGUUAGGAUGCUGUUAUGCCUGCUGUUAGGAUGCUGUUGGGCUGCUGUUAGGUUGCUGAUAUGAUGCUGUUAGGUUGCUGUUAGGCUGCUCGUAGUUGGCGGCUAGGCUGCUGUUAGGAUGAUGUUAGGCUGAUGUUAGGAUGCUGUUAGACUUCUGUUAGGAUGCUGUUAGGCUGCUGUUAGUCUGCUGUUUGGUUGCUGUUAGGAUGCCGUUUGUCUGUUGUUAGGAUGCUGUUAGAAUGCUUUUAGGCUGUUAAGUUGCUGUUAAGAUGCAAUUAGGAAGCUUUUUAGCUGCUGUUAGGAUGCUGUUAAGAUGCUGUUUGGCUGUUGUUUGGCUUCUGUUAGGAUGCUGUUAAGAUGCUGUUUGUCUGUUGUUUGGCUUCUGUUAGGAUGCUGUUAGGAUGCUGUUAGGCUGCUGUUAAGCUGCUGUUAGGUUGCUGUUAGGCUGCUGUUAGGUUGCUGUUAGGUUGCUAUUAGGCUGCUGUUUGGCUGCUGUUAGGAUGCUGUUAAGAUGCUCUUUGGCUGUUGUUUGGCUUCUGUUAGGAUGCUGUUAGGCUGCUGUUUGGUUGCUGUUAGGAUGCUGUUUGUCUGUUGUUAGGAUGCUGUUAGAAUGCUGUUAGGCUGUUAGGUUGCUGUUAAGAUGCAAUUAGGAUGUUUUUUAGCUGCUGUUAGGCUGCUGUUAGGUUGCUUUUAGGAUGCUGUUAAAAUGCAAUUAGGCUGUGGUUAGGUUGCUGUUAGGCUGCUGUUAGGCUGUUAGGAUGUGGUUAGGUUGCUGUUAGGAUGCUAUUCAGAUGCUGUUAGCCUGCUGUUAGGAUGCUGUUAGGCACAUUUUAGGAUGCUGUUAGGCUGCUGUUAGGAUGCUGUUAGGAUGCUGUUAGGCUGCUGUUAGGAUGCUGUUAGGAUGCUGUUAGGUUGCUGUUAGGAUGCUGUUAGGUUGCUGUUAGGCUGCUGUUAGGC
This 2089-nucleotide long non-coding RNA is filed under the name Salmo salar (Atlantic salmon). RNAcentral describes it as "lncRNA (ENSSSAG00000110350.1)". Lineage: Eukaryota; Metazoa; Chordata; Actinopteri; Salmoniformes; Salmonidae. The record is from RNAcentral.